RNAcentral lists this unclassified non-coding RNA (368 nucleotides) under soil metagenome. Its description in RNAcentral is "partial contains 5.8S ribosomal RNA, internal transcribed spacer 2, and large subunit ribosomal RNA". The stretch from base 1 to 123 matches the Rfam family "5.8S ribosomal RNA", at positions 35 to 154 of the family's 154-position model. The record is from RNAcentral.
GAUGAAGAACGUAGCGAAAUGCGAUACGUAAUGUGAAUUGCAGAUCUCUCAGUGAACCAUCGAAUUUUUGAACGCACAUAGCGCCCGCCGGUCAUUCCGGCGGGCAUGCCUGUCCGAGCGUCAUCUCAACCCUCGAGCCCCCCCGGGGGCUCGGCGUUGGGGACCGGCCCCGCCCCAGGGCGCGCCGCCCCCCAAAUCCAGUGGCGGUCCCGCCGCAGCCUCCCCUGCGCAGUAGCUUGCACACUCGCACCGGAGAGCGGCGCGGCCACGCCGUAAAACCCCCCGACCACGGAGCCCCGGCUCCUGAACGUUGACCUCGGAUCAGGUAGGAAUACCCGCUGAACUUAAGCAUAUCAAUAAGCGGAGGA